AACAAGUACUAGGGGAGACUGUAUAGAUAGUCUGAGAGUAGGAUGUUAUCCUUUACCCUCAUAACCUGAUUUAGUUAAUGCUAACGUAGGGAUGUAAUUUGUUAAACUU
RNAcentral lists this non-coding RNA (109 nucleotides) under Clostridium acetireducens. RNAcentral describes it as "TPP sequence". It matches the Rfam family "TPP riboswitch aptamer (THI element)". Rfam says of the family: Vitamin B(1) in its active form thiamin pyrophosphate (TPP) is an essential coenzyme that is synthesised by coupling of pyrimidine and thiazole moieties in bacteria. RNAcentral also lists the same sequence under 1 other name. Lineage: Bacteria; Bacillati; Bacillota; Clostridia; Eubacteriales; Clostridiaceae. The record is from RNAcentral.